AACAGCACCUUAGAAUCCCCGUUUCUUCUCCACCGCCUUAUCUCCCUUUUAUCUCUUUCUUUUAUCUCUUUCUUUCUGGGUUGUUCCACCGCUAUAGUAAUCGCCGGCUUUUGCACCGUUUUGGACCUUUCCAUUUGUUUCUCCAAUCCAUAUAAUCACCGCCUCACCUAUUAGUAUCUAGAAGCAUCCGAUCGAUCUUCACAACCUAGGCACACCUUCACAUCUUCUCUACCUCCGAUCGGCGGCUUUCAACGAUGUUUCGAGAAAGGUUGAUGCCUCCCUUCCCUUCUUGCGACAUCCAAAGAUCGAGUGAGAGAGGAGUGUAAAACAGACAUCGCAUCUCCUACCUUCUUCUUCUUCUUUUAUUGUCUGAAGGUCUGAUUGACCAGCCACUAGCAGCACUACAAACGUUUCUCUCUUUCUGUUUACCACCAUGUCUUCCGUUCACAUCCUAACUGCACAAUUUCAUAUGAAGUCGCCACAUCUUCAACACCUUAAUAUUUGGAUGCUCUCUGGCGUUAUUAACAGACAAUUUUGAACACCAACUGCUCGACAAAAAUCCUCAACGAAAAAUUAGAUCAAGAGUGUAUUUCUACUUGAGAUGGUGGAAGAUGUUGAUUAUUCUCUGAAAUGGACUACAACAACAAAUCAUAGUUACGUGCAAACUCUAUGCUCGGAAUCUUACAUCGUAGCUCUUUCUACAAAAUGACCCAAAAUAGAAGGGAGAAUCAGGUACAAUGAUCAAUUUAUCAACUGAUAAGCUUCAUCUCUGACAUGGGAUGCUUUUAAUUUCUCACAAUGUAUGUCGUUUGUAAUUUUGCUAUGCUUGCUUACCAUGUUCAAUUGAAGACACAAAUUCUGCCCUAAUUCGACAAUUCUGAAAUUUCACCUGCUUCUGUAUGAAGGUGUAAUUCCUCAAGAAUACAUACUCAUUAAAUGGUUGACUCUUGAUUGUACAAUAUCUUCCCCCUUUUUGACUUCAAUUUGUCCUGUUAUACAUAUUUACUAAUUUCAUGGUGUUGUAUUUUCUAUCUAACUGAUAUUCUCUUACUGCUUUGUUAGCAGAAGGACCAUGCUCACUUGCUUUAAACUUCCCUGAAAAAUCUUUUAACAAAAGCAUUUGGUGUUAAGGAGUCGAGCCACAACUACUUGGUAUGUGAUAUUUUCUAUUUUUUUUUUUGCAACUUUUGGUAGAGGUGGAUGUAAUUGUUUCAUCAAAAUAAACAAUCUUUUCAUUCGAUAAUUUAAUGACUUAAAUAAAAGAAUUGAUGUUUUGUCCAACUUCUUUCCUGGAAUUCUAAAUGGGCCAAGAUUUGAAUGUAAUUAUUGAUUUGAAGGUAAAGUCUUUGUUUUA
Lactuca sativa (garden lettuce) is the source of this 1354-nucleotide non-coding RNA. The record is from RefSeq and is a predicted model, not a curated record. NCBI's taxonomy places the organism in Eukaryota, Viridiplantae, Streptophyta, Magnoliopsida, Asterales, Asteraceae.